UCUAUGAGGACUUACUAGGGCUCAGGAUAAAAAUAGAUUGGUCAUAAAAGAUUGCCUCUCCUAUAAAACUAUGAUGCAAUGUAGGCUGCUAUUAUGAGGGAUUACAUCACCCAAACAUUGUAAUAUCAAUGUAGGUGGCAUUCCACACAGAAUUGCCUCGCCUAAACAUUACAUAAUUAAUUAAAAUAGGAUGCAUUCUCAGUUUGUUAUCAUCAUCACUGCCCAUCUAAAAAAACAUAAACCAAAAGAACAAAUACCAGAAUUGAGUACCAAAGAAAGCCAUCUGUCAUUAAGCUCAAACCGACCAUAAUAUAUCACAAGAAGCCAACACCAACAAAUCAAGCAAAAAUCCAACAAAUCAAGCAAAAUCCGACGAAAUCCAUCAAGGAAGGCAGUGAAUCACAAAUUAAUAUGGACAUGCAGACUCAAAAAGUACACAAAUUAAUU
This is a long non-coding RNA of Asparagus officinalis (garden asparagus), 447 nucleotides long. RefSeq lists it as uncharacterized. The record is from RefSeq and is a predicted model, not a curated record. The transcript has 2 exons. Lineage: Eukaryota; Viridiplantae; Streptophyta; Magnoliopsida; Asparagales; Asparagaceae.